CCAUGAUGCCCCUGCAGGGAACUCUGUGAGGAGACUGUGGAGACUUUGUGCUGAGGGGCAGGUGAAACCCCGACAGCUGUUGCAGCAUCUCAUGGUCACUGAACCGGUGAUGAAAUCAUCAAACCUGUGUGCUCGUGUCUCCAGCACGGCCGCAGCAUGUUUCUAAAUGAUGAGCUAAAGCAUGGCAACAGAGUUGUGGUUUGACGCCAGAAAAAGCUCCGAUGCAGAUAAAUUCAGAUCUGUGACAUUCACACUGCUGCUCGCAGGCCUGCAGCUGGACUCAAGCUCCCAGUACCAACCCUCUAAGUCAGAUUUACCUUCACACUUACCUACAGCAUUUACAAAU
Molecule: long non-coding RNA, 346 nt
Organism: Astatotilapia calliptera (eastern happy)
Lineage: Eukaryota; Metazoa; Chordata; Actinopteri; Cichliformes; Cichlidae
Source: Ensembl